RNAcentral lists this long non-coding RNA (1387 nucleotides) under Sus scrofa (pig). Its description in RNAcentral is "lncRNA (ENSSSCG00030046691.1)". Lineage: Eukaryota; Metazoa; Chordata; Mammalia; Artiodactyla; Suidae. The record is from RNAcentral.
GGCUCAGCAGCUUAAGAACCCAACAUAGUGUCUGUGAGGAUGUGCGUUCAAUCCCUGGCCUUGCUCAGGGGGUUAAGUUUCUGGUAUUGCAGCAAGUUGCAGCAUAGGUCAUAGAUCUGGUGUUGCCAUGACUGUGGUGCAGGCCAGAAACUGCAGCUCUGAUUUGAUCCCUGGCCUGGGGACUUCCAUAUGCUUCAGGUAUGGCCCUAAAAAGAAAAAGAAGUAAAUCCUGCUGUAUGUAACUUCACAGGUGAACCUGGAGGACAUUAUGCUAAGUGAAAUAAACCGAUCAUAAGGACAAAUACUGCAUGAUUCCACUUAUAUGAGGUGUGUAAAAUAGUCAAACUCAUAGAAGCAGAGAGUGGGAAAUGCGUUAGGGAAUAGAGGAGAGUGAAAGUGGAAAGGAAAGUUGUAUGCAAAUGGAAUUGCUUUGAGUACCUCAAUGAAUCUCUGGUAUCAUCUUCCAAGUUCUUUAGCUUGGUUUGCUUUUACUGAAUCACUCACUUUUCUGCUUCUUUCUUCUGCAGAUACUGGGAAGUGAAGUUAAAAAGACUCCUGAACUCCAAAGAAUAUUGGUGACUGUUACAAAAAUGAGAAAUUCUGGAUCUCUGAGAAAACAAAGGAUUCCAUUACAUCAAGUCCAUCAGAGCCUCAGAAAAUCCAGCAAAACCAGUCUCAGGUGAACCCAGCGAAGGUAAAUUCAUAGUUCUUGACUCUUUCCUAAAUUGCUUUCUGGAUUCUCUUUGUCUAGAAUCUUUCUUAAGUGGGAACUCAAGAGGUCAGAGAAGGAUAAGGAAUCCUGAGGAUACUUGGGAUUAUAUUGUCAUACAUGGUGAAAUGGAUUCUUUUUAAAAGUUCAGUAAAUGAAUUGGGCAGAAUGAAGGGUAAUGAAUUAGCAUACCAAUAUGCAUAUAUAGCAAAAUCACUCAGAGCAAACAAUUUUAACUAAGGGUAUUGCAGUAAAUAAGCAUUGGUAUAGGAAUUGCAAAGUCUUAGAUUCAAAUGCUGACUUCAUCCUUACCAGCUGUGUGACAUGUACAUGUCCAAUUUACCUACCCUCUCUGAGCUUUAGUGUACUUAUACAUAACAAAGAAACAGUAUCUGCUGUGCUACUGCUGGGUGAGUUUUAAAUGUGAUACAGUUGUGAGAAUUAAAUUACAAAGGUGAAAUAACAUUUUAUAUUAUUAGUGAUAUACAUAUGUUAUUACUAUCAGUUAAGCUACUUUAAUAUGUAUGUAUAUAAACAUAUUUCCUACUUCACUGUUUCAAACAAGGGGGUGAUACUGGGAAACAAUGAUUAUAAAACUAAUUAAAUCAAUGUAUCAUAAUCUUCAACUAAUCUGCUUGGGUGGCAAGCUUAUAGAAAAUGAAGAAUGCAUCUUUUGUC